Molecule: ribosomal RNA, 305 nt
Filed under: uncultured bacterium
Lineage: Bacteria
Description: bacterial SSU rRNA
Rfam family: Bacterial small subunit ribosomal RNA
Source: RNAcentral
GUUCCUACGGGGCGCAGCAGUGGGGAAUAUUGCGCAAUGGGCGAAAGCCUGACGCAGCGACGCCGCGUGAGGGAUGAAGGUCUUCGGAUCGUAAACCUCUGUCAGCAGGGAAGAACGGUCACUGUGCUAAUCAGCAGUGAAUUGACGGUACCUGCAAAGGAAGCACCGGCUAACUCCGUGCCAGCAGCCGCGGUAAUACGGAGGGAGCAAGCGUUAUCCGGAUUUAUUGGGUGUAAAGGGUGCGUAGACGGGAAAUUAAGUUAGUUGUGAAAUCCCUCGGCUCAACUGAGGAACUGCAACUAAAA